UACGGAGGAUCCAAGCGUUAUCCGGAUUUAUUGGGUUUAAAGGGUGCGUAGGCGGCUUAUUAAGUCAGGGGUGAAAGACGGUGGCUCAACCAUCGCAGUGCCUUUGAUACUGAUGAGCUUGAAUGAACUAGAGGUAGGCGGAAUGUGACAAGUAGCGGUGAAAUGCAUAGAUAUGUCACAGAACACCGAUUGCGAAGGCAGCUUACUAUGGUUUUUUAUUGACGCUGAGGCACGAAAGCGUGGGGGGAUCAAACAGG
This 257-nucleotide ribosomal RNA is filed under the name uncultured bacterium. RNAcentral describes it as "partial 16S ribosomal RNA". It matches the Rfam family "Bacterial small subunit ribosomal RNA", at positions 524 to 776 of the family's 1533-position model. The record is from RNAcentral.